RNAcentral lists this ribosomal RNA (485 nucleotides) under Salmonella enterica subsp. enterica serovar Bredeney. RNAcentral describes it as "bacterial SSU rRNA". It matches the Rfam family "Bacterial small subunit ribosomal RNA", at positions 993 to 1478 of the family's 1533-position model. The record is from RNAcentral. Lineage: Bacteria; Pseudomonadati; Pseudomonadota; Gammaproteobacteria; Enterobacterales; Enterobacteriaceae.
GAAGUUUUCAGAGAUGAGAAUGUGCCUUCGGGAACCGUGAGACAGGUGCUGCAUGGCUGUCGUCAGCUCGUGUUGUGAAAUGUUGGGUUAAGUCCCGCAACGAGCGCAACCCUUAUCCUUUGUUGCCAGCGGUCCGGCCGGGAACUCAAAGGAGACUGCCAGUGAUAAACUGGAGGAAGGUGGGGAUGACGUCAAGUCAUCAUGGCCCUUACGACCAGGGCUACACACGUGCUACAAUGGCGCAUACAAAGAGAAGCGACCUCGCGAGAGCAAGCGGACCUCAUAAAGUGCGUCGUAGUCCGGAUUGGAGUCUGCAACUCGACUCCAUGAAGUCGGAAUCGCUAGUAAUCGUGGAUCAGAAUGCCACGGUGAAUACGUUCCCGGGCCUUGUACACACCGCCCGUCACACCAUGGGAGUGGGUUGCAAAAGAAGUAGGUAGCUUAACCUUCGGGAGGGCGCUUACCACUUUGUGAUUCAUGACUGG